This 886-nucleotide ribosomal RNA is filed under the name uncultured bacterium. Its description in RNAcentral is "bacterial SSU rRNA". It matches the Rfam family "Bacterial small subunit ribosomal RNA", at positions 28 to 896 of the family's 1533-position model. The record is from RNAcentral.
GACGAACGCUGGCGGCGUGCCUAAUACAUGCAAGUAGAACGCUGAAGACUUUAGCUUGCUAAAGUUGGAAGAGUUGCGAACGGGUGAGUAACGCGUAGGUAACCUGCCUACUAGCGGGGGAUAACUAUUGGAAACGAUAGCUAAUACCGCAUAACAGCAUUUAACCCAUGUUAGAUGCUUGAAAGGAGCAAUUGCUUCACUAGUAGAUGGACCUGCGUUGUAUUAGCUAGUUGGUGAGGUAACGGCUCACCAAGGCGAUGAUGCAUAGCCGAGUUGAGAGACUGAUCGGCCACAAUGGGACUGAGACACGGCCCAUACUCCUACGGGAGGCAGCAGUAGGGAAUCUUCCACAAUGGGCGCAAGCCUGAUGGAGCAACGCCGCGUGAGUGAAGAAGGUUUUCGGAUCGUAAAGCUCUGUUGUAAGAGAAGAACGUGUGUGAGAGUGGAAAGUUCACACAGUGACGGUAACUUACCAGAAAGGGACGGCUAACUACGUGCCAGCAGCCGCGGUAAUACGUAGGUCCCGAGCGUUGUCCGGAUUUAUUGGGCGUAAAGCGAGCGCAGGCGGUUUAAUAAGUCUGAAGUUAAAGGCAGUGGCUUAACCAUUGUUCGCUUUGGAAACUGUUAGACUUGAGUGCAGAAGGGGAGAGUGGAAUUCCAUGUGUAGCGGUGAAAUGCGUAGAUAUAUGGAGGAACACCGGUGGCGAAAGCGGCUCUCUGGUCUGUAACUGACGCUGAGGCUCGAAAGCGUGGGGAGCAAACAGGAUUAGAUACCCUGGUAGUCCACGCCGUAAACGAUGAGUGCUAGGUGUUAGGCCCUUUCCGGGGCUUAGUGCCGCAGCUAACGCAUUAAGCACUCCGCCUGGGGAGUACGACCGCAAGGUUG